CCCUAGAGGCAUUGCAGAUGUGGCUGCUGUGUUGCACCUGCCUCAGUAGGAAAGAGGCUGUGUCUACACGCAGUGUUCUGACUUCUGAACACCUGAGUGUUUAGUAGCCUAGCAUU
Rattus norvegicus (Norway rat) is the source of this 116-nucleotide small nucleolar RNA. Ensembl annotates it as small nucleolar RNA SNORA17. NCBI's taxonomy places the organism in Eukaryota, Metazoa, Chordata, Mammalia, Rodentia, Muridae. The record is from Ensembl.